AGCGCGGCAGCCGAAAAGCGUUUAACAGAGUAGGCG
This 36-nucleotide non-coding RNA is filed under the name unclassified sequences. Its description in RNAcentral is "DUF805b RNA". It matches the Rfam family "DUF805b RNA". Rfam says of the family: Bacteroidetes, Chlorobi (1 example), Proteobacteria. Lineage (Flavobacteria) The record is from RNAcentral.